CUCAUAUAACCUCAAAUAUAAAAACAGAGAAAAAACAUAAUAGUGCAAUAUGGUAUGGUGAAUAGGUAAAAUGUUAGAGUGGAUUAGAGUAAUAUACACUCACAUUUGGUAGAGCUAACCAGGAGCUCUACCGUAAUUCGUAUGGACGGAACAAUCCCCGUCUAAGCUCCAAUAGUGUAGUAUAUUAAAGGAAGUUCUCUCUGCUUUGCAGACACUACACUAUUGGAGUUUCC
Pelobates cultripes (western spadefoot toad) is the source of this 233-nucleotide non-coding RNA. Lineage: Eukaryota; Metazoa; Chordata; Amphibia; Anura; Pelobatidae. The record is from the annotation of a GenBank genome assembly.